UAAUGAUGAUGGUAGUGAUAGCAGUUUAGUGAUGGUGGUGGUGGUAGAUGUAGUAAUGACGAUGGUAGUGAUACCAGUUUAGUGAUGGUGGUGGUGGUGGUAGUAAUGAUGAUGGUAGUUAUAGCAGUUUCGUGAUGGUGGUGGGGUAGAAGUAGUCAUGAUGAUAGUAGUGAUAGCAGUUUAGUGAUGGUGGUGGAAGGAAUAGUGAUGAUGAAAGAAGUGAUAGCAGUUUAUUCAUGGUUGUGGUAAUAGUAAUAGAAUGAUGACGGUAGUGAUAGCAGUUUAGUGAUGGUGGUGGGGGUAGUAGUAGUAGUAAUUUUGAUGGUAGUGAUAGCAGUUUAGUGAUGGUGGUGGUGGUAGUAUAAUGAUGAUGGUAGUGAAAGCAGUUUAGUGAUGGUGGUGGUGGUAGAUGUAGUAAUGAUGAUGUUAGUGAUACCAGUUUAGUGAUGGUGGUUGUGAUAGUAGUAGUAAUGAUCAUGGUAGUGAUAGCAGUUUAGUGAUGGUGGAGGUAGUAGUAGUAAUGAUGAUGGUAGUGAUAGCAGUUUAGUGAUGGUGAUGGUGGUAGUAGUAGUAAUGAUGAUGGUAUUGAUAGCAUUUUAGUGAUGGUGGAAGUGGUAGUAGUAAUGAUGAUGGUAGUGAUAGCAUUUUAGUGUUGGUAUUGGUAGUAGUAGUAAUGAUGAUGGUAGUGAUAGCAGUUUAUUGAUGGUGGUUGUAGUAGUAAUUAUGAUGGUAGUUAUAGCAGUUUAGUGAUGGUGGUGGGGGUAGAAGUCGUAAUGAUGAUAGUAGUGAUAGCAGUUUAGUGAUGGUGGUGGUAGUAGUAGCAAUGAUGAUGGUAGUGAUAGCAGUUUAGUGAUGGUGGUGGUGGUAGCAGAAAUGAUGAUGGUAUUGAUAACAGUUUAGUGAUGGUGGUAGUAGUAGUAAUUAUGAUGGUAGUGAUAACAGUUUAGUGAUGGCAGGAUGGUAGUAGUAGUAAUGAUGGUGGUAGUGAUAGCAGUUUAGUGAUGGUGGUGGUGGUAGUAGUAAUGAUGAUGGAAGUGAUAGCAGUUUAGUGAUGGUGAUGGUAGUAUUAGUAAUGGUGUUGGUAGUGAUUGCAGUUUAGUGAUGGUGGUGGUAGUAGUAGAAUGAUGAUAGUAGUGAUAGCAGUUUAUUGAUGGUUGUGGUAAUAGGAAUGUAAUAGAAUGAUGACGGUUGUGAUAGCAGUUUAGUGAUGGUGGUGGUGGUAGUAGUAAUGAUGAUGGUAGUGAUAACAGUUUAGUGAAUGUGGUGGUGGUAGUAGUAGUAAUGAUGGUAUUGAUAGCAGUUUAGUGAUGAUGGUAGUAGUAGUAACGAUGAUGGUAGUGAUAGCAGUUUAGUGAUGGUUGUGGGGUAGUAGUAAUGAUGAUGGUAGUGAUAGCAGUUUUGUGAUGGUGGUGGUAGUAGUAGAAUGAUGACAGAUGGGAUAGCAGUUUAGUGAUGGUGGAGGUAGUUGUAGUAUUGAUGAUGGUAGUGAUAGCAUUUUAGUGAUUGUGGAGGUGGUAGUAGUAAUGAUGAUGGUAGUGAUAGCAUUUUAGUGUUGGUGGUGGUAGUGGUAGAAUGAUGACGAAUGGGAUAGCAGUUUAGUGAUGGUGGAGGUGGUAGUAGUAAUGAUGAUGGUAGUGAUAGCAUUUUAGUGUUGGUGGUGGUAGUAGUAGUAAUGAUGAUGGUAGUGAUAGCCUUUUAGUGAUGGUGGUGGUAGUAGUAGUAAUGAUGAUAGUAGUUAUAGCAGUUUAGUGAUGGUGGUGGUAGUAGUAGAAUGAUGAUGGUAGUGACAGCAGUUUAGUGAUGAUGAUAGUAGUGAUAGCAGUUUAUUGAUGGUCGUGGUAAUAGUAAUGUAAUAGAAUGAUGACGGUAGUGAUAGCAGUUUAGUGAUGGUGGUGGUGGUAGUAG
RNAcentral lists this long non-coding RNA (1905 nucleotides) under Salmo salar (Atlantic salmon). RNAcentral describes it as "lncRNA (ENSSSAG00000103169.1)". Lineage: Eukaryota; Metazoa; Chordata; Actinopteri; Salmoniformes; Salmonidae. The record is from RNAcentral.